This 75-nucleotide antisense RNA is filed under the name Streptomyces sp. 150FB. RNAcentral describes it as "ASpks TB sRNA". It matches the Rfam family "ASpks TB sRNA". Lineage: Bacteria; Bacillati; Actinomycetota; Actinomycetes; Kitasatosporales; Streptomycetaceae. The record is from Rfam by way of RNAcentral.
CUUGAUGGAGCCGAGCCACAACGGCCGUUCCUCGGCGCGGCCUUGACCGUAGGUGGCGAGCAGCGCCUGCGCCUC